Molecule: non-coding RNA, 1677 nt
Organism: Anas platyrhynchos (mallard)
Lineage: Eukaryota; Metazoa; Chordata; Aves; Anseriformes; Anatidae
Source: RefSeq, a predicted model, not a curated record
CCAUUAUUCUGAAAAUUCUGUGCUUAUGUGAAAUUUUAAUGUGGAAUCUUUGUUUCACCAGGUAAUGUUAGCGUAUGUGCAACAAACCACUGUAUCAAAGAUGAUAGGAGGAAUAAUUGUGCUAUUUCUUUUUUCCUGAGCCAGUGGUAGGCAUCGUAGCUGUUUUGUUACCCGAACUGGCUAACACAGAAGCUUAACAUACAGUGAUGUCUGGCUGGCAGAUGCUUCUCUAUUGAAUAGAGUGAUUUCAUUUUUCUGCUUUUUCAAGAGCACUGUGGGAACUCUUGCACACUAGGCACAGUCAGGGAAAAUUGGGAACUCUUUGCUUGGAUUCCUGAAAUUGAAAAAUACCAAUUUUUCAGAUAAAUGUGGUUCUUUUCAGCUCUGUUUACUUUUUCCAUGGGUGAGCACUGUACUGUUUGCCGGGCUUAGACAAAUAGCAAAUAUUUCUCACACAGCAUCUAUAAAUACAUCCCACACUACAGAGCAGACACCUCAGUCCUGGGGUAGUUUCCCAGUCAAUGAUUAGUCACAGGUAAAACUGUAGCUGCAGCAGCUGUGCUUCACAGUCCUUUCUACCGUUGAUAUGACUGUUUAUUGAAGUUUUCUACAAAAAUAAAUAAAUAAAAAUAGACAUCUUAUUUCUAACUGAAUAACAAUUGCCUAACUAUAUAACUUAGCAUAUAAGCACUUUUUUCUUUACAAUAUGCAGGGAUUUAAAAGCUUGACUAUAUAUAUAUUAUUUAUUUAUUUAUUUAUUUAUUUAUUUUUCACAUUAAGCAAAGGAGUGAAAUUAAGGUAUCUCAGAUCAGCCAGCAUCUUGCUUAAGGUUAUCCUGGUUUUCAAGAUGAACAAAGAAAAACGGAUCUGAACACUGUCCAUAUCUCAUACUCUGUGCUAAGUCAGUAUGAGAGGUUCAGAUGAUUAGAUAAGGCAUCUGUGUUCAAACCCUAUGGCAAAAGAAAGCUGGCAAAAUUAUAGUAAUACUUGUAAUUUUCCACUUGAUGCCUGUGUGAUAUAGUGAUGUAAAAAGGAUGAAUUGUGUUUGUACACGGCAAAUUGUUUGAAAACAACCAGGAGUUGUCAGAAUAUCAUGAAAUUUACUAUUUGGUUUUGAAUUUUCUUGCUUUUUCUUCCUUCGUUGUGUUUCUUUCCAUCCUCCUCCUUUAGCUCGUUAUUUAGUUUAAAGGAAGUGAUCACUCGUGGUUGUGUUACUGGUAAAGAAGUGACCUCCUCCAAGCUUCCUGCUAAGCCGGCAUCCCCUCCUCCACCUGCCAUAAAGCACGUUAUAGCAUUACAGAUGGAAGAUAAUGUUCUGCACCAGUUCUGCUGUCCACCUUCGGGGUCUAGUAGUCCAUCUUCAAGAUAACAGAGAAGCUCGGGGUCGCUAAGUGUGCAGUCAGUGCUACAUCUGUAUAGUCCAUCUCUCCUCUCUAACUGGUGUGUAUGGGACUGACAUUUGCAUGGAUGCCGUAGGAUUCUUGUUCAUAUCAAGUCUGAUUUACUCAGAAUGGCACAGCCGUAAAUUUUUAUCAUCAGUGCUUAGUAAUCUUUUCUCCGUGCUUUUCUACAGCUCUCUUCCUUGUGUCCAGUAUUUGAAACACUUGCAAACUGUAAACAAUACAUAAAAUGCACUAUUUAUUUUGAAGUAAAAUAAACAGUACCAUAAGUCUUUAA